This is a non-coding RNA of Leopardus geoffroyi (Geoffroy's cat), 73 nucleotides long. The record is from the annotation of a RefSeq genome assembly. Lineage: Eukaryota; Metazoa; Chordata; Mammalia; Carnivora; Felidae.
ACCUGGCUGGCUCAGUUGGUAGAGCAGGUGACUCUCGAUCUCUGGGUCAUGAGUUCAAGCCCCAUGUUGGGCC